AUGAACGCUGGCGGCGUGCCUAAUACAUGCAAGUCGAGCGAACAGACGAGGAGCUUGCUCCUCUGACGUUAGCGGCGGACGGGUGAGUAACACGUGGAUAACCUACCUAUAAGACUGGGAUAACUUCGGGAAACCGGAGCUAAUACCGGAUAAUAUAUUGAACCGCAUGGUUCAAUAGUGAAAGACGGUUUUGCUGUCACUUAUAGAUGGAUCCGCGCCGCAUUAGCUAGUUGGUAAGGUAACGGCUUACCAAGGCAACGAUGCGUAGCCGACCUGAGAGGGUGAUCGGCCACACUGGAACUGAGACACGGUCCAGACUCCUACGGGAGGCAGCAGUAGGGAAUCUUCCGCAAUGGGCGAAAGCCUGACGGAGCAACGCCGCGUGAGUGAUGAAGGUCUUCGGAUCGUAAAACUCUGUUAUUAGGGAAGAACAAAUGCGUAAGUAACUAUGCACGUCUUGACGGUACCUAAUCAGAAAGCCACGGCUAACUACGU
Molecule: ribosomal RNA, 495 nt
Filed under: uncultured bacterium
Lineage: Bacteria
Description: partial 16S ribosomal RNA
Rfam family: Bacterial small subunit ribosomal RNA
Source: RNAcentral